GCGGGCAAGGUUCUCCGGAAGGGAUUUGAAAUCCUUUCUUUUGCUUAGUUGGCAAUGCCUGCU
Molecule: transfer RNA, 63 nt
Filed under: Paragonimus skrjabini miyazakii
Lineage: Eukaryota; Metazoa; Platyhelminthes; Trematoda; Plagiorchiida; Troglotrematidae
Description: tRNA-Ser
Source: RNAcentral